CCUACGGGUGGCAGCAGUCGAGAAUCAUUCACAAUGGGGGAAACCCUGAUGGUGCGACGCCGCGUGGGGGAAUGAAGGUCUUCGGAUUGUAAACCCCUGUCAUGUGGGAGCAAAUUAAAAAGAUAGUACCACAAGAGGAAGAGACGGCUAACUCUGUGCCAGCAGCCGCGGUAAUACAGAGGUCUCAAGCGUUGUGCGGAAUCACUGGGCGUAAGGGGUGCGGAGGCUGUUUCGUAAGUCGUGUGUGAAAGGCGCGGGCUCAACCCGCGGACGGCACAUGAUACUGCGAGACUAGAGUAAGGGAAGGGGAGCCGGAAUUCUCGGUGUAGCAGUGAAAUGCGUAGAUAUCGAGAAGAACACUCGUGGCGAAGGCGGGUUACUGGACAGUAACUGACGCUGAGGCACGAAGGCCAGGGGAGCGAAAGGGAUUAGAUACCCGGGUAGUC
This 446-nucleotide ribosomal RNA is filed under the name uncultured bacterium. Its description in RNAcentral is "partial 16S ribosomal RNA". It matches the Rfam family "Bacterial small subunit ribosomal RNA", at positions 338 to 795 of the family's 1533-position model. The record is from RNAcentral.